AUUGAACGCUAGCGGGAUGCUUUACACAUGCAAGUCGAACGAGUGGCGGACGGGUGAGUAAUAUAUCGGAACGUGCCCAGGAGCGGGGGAUAAAUACUCGAAAGAGUGGCUAAUACAGCAAACUAUUGGAGCGGCCGAUAUCGGAUUAGCGAGUUGGGGGGGUAAAGGCUCAACAAGGCAACGAUCCGUAGCUGGUUUGAGAGGACGACCAGCUACACUUGGACUAAGCCACGGCCCAGACUCCUACGGGAGUCAGCAUUGGUUAAUGUUGGACAAUGGGGGAAACCCUGAUCCAGCCCUCCCGCGUGUAUGAGAAGGCCUUCUGGUUGUAAAGUACUUUUGGCAGAGAAGCGGUAUCUGCAGAAUAAGCACCGGCUAACUACGUGCCAGCAGCCGCGGUAAUAC
RNAcentral lists this ribosomal RNA (405 nucleotides) under uncultured bacterium. RNAcentral's name for it is "partial 16S ribosomal RNA". It matches the Rfam family "Bacterial small subunit ribosomal RNA", at positions 30 to 526 of the family's 1533-position model. The record is from RNAcentral.